GACGAACGCUGGCGGCGUGCUUAACACAUGCAAGUCGAGCGGUAAGGCCCUUUCGGGGGUACGACGAGCGGCGAACGGGUGAGUAACACGUGGGUGACCUGCCUCAGCUCUGGGAUAAGCCUGGGAAACUGGGUCUAAUACCGGAUAUGACUCCAUGACGCAUGUUGUGGGGUGGAAAGCCUUGUGCGGCUGAGGAUGGGCCCGCGGCCUAUCAGCUUGUUGGUGGGGUGAUGGCCUACCAAGGCGACGACGGGUAGCCGGCCUGAGAGGGCGACCGGCCACACUGGGACUGAGACACGGCCCAGACUCCUACGGGAGGCAGCAGUGGGGAAUCUUGCGCAAUGGGCGAAAGCCUGACGCAGCGACGCCGCGUGAGGGAUGACGGCCU
This 388-nucleotide ribosomal RNA is filed under the name uncultured bacterium. RNAcentral describes it as "bacterial SSU rRNA". It matches the Rfam family "Bacterial small subunit ribosomal RNA", at positions 28 to 417 of the family's 1533-position model. The record is from RNAcentral.